AGACUGGUAAUGGAAUAUAUGAAGAACUAUUAAAACUCAACAGUAAAAAAUUAAUUCAACUAGAAACUGGACAAAAGACGUCAAAAGACAUUUCACCAAAGAGGAGAUACAAGUGGCAGAUAAGCACAUGAAAUGAUGUUAAACAUCAUUAGUCAUUCAGGAAAGGCAAAUUAAAACCACAUGAGAGAUCACUACACACCUGUCAGAAUGGCUGAGGUAAAAGAAGAAUGAUAAUAGCAAAUGAUGGUGAGGAUGUGGAGGAACUAGUUUUCCCCUCCAUUGCUGGUGGGAGUGGAAAAUGGCACAGCUACUCUGGAAAACAGUUUGGCAUGGUCUUAUCAAACCAAACUUGUAACUGCCACUCAACCAGCAAACUCAACUAGUAGGCAUUUAUCCCAGAGAAAUGAAAACUGUGUUCACACAAAAACCUAUUCACAGGUGUUCGUAGUACGUUUAUUUGAAAUAGCCAAAAACUAGAAACAAUCCAGAUGUUCUUCAGUGGAUGAAUGGUUAACACACAAACUGGGGCCCAUCCAUGCCAUGGAAUACUACUCAGUCAUACAAAGGACUGAACUACUGGUACAUACAGCAACCCAGAUGAAUCCCCAGAGAAUUAUGCUGAGUGAAAACAGCCAGUCCCAAAAGUGUGAAGAUGAGUCAACUGGGAAUUUAAAUGAGGCCUUCAGGGUGUGUGCCCUCUAGGCAGGCAUGAUGGAGAAGCUGAUAGAAUCCAUGGUACCAGCCUUCCAAGGUAGAAACAUCUCCAACAAUACUACGUUCAUGUUCAACUACUCGACCUUCAACACAUCCCACCAGGUCCUGGACCAGCUCUUUACUAGAUCCUGUUGGGAAGAGCUGACAUCUGCUGAACAAUACCGAGUCAACCUAUGAAGAAACAUGG
This is a long non-coding RNA of Diceros bicornis minor, 901 nucleotides long. RefSeq lists it as uncharacterized. The record is from RefSeq and is a predicted model, not a curated record. Lineage: Eukaryota; Metazoa; Chordata; Mammalia; Perissodactyla; Rhinocerotidae. The transcript has 3 exons.